CUUGACUGGCGAGUUUCCAGGUGAUUAUGGGUGGGACACCGCUGGACUCUCAGCUGACCCUGAAACAUUCGCCAGGAACCGUGAGCUUGAGGUGAUCCAUUGCCGUUGGGCCAUGCUUGGUGCUUUGGGUUGUGUCUUCCCUGAAAUCCUUUCCAAGAAUGGUGUUAAAUUCGGUGAGGCAGUUUGGUUCAAGGCUGGAUCUCAAAUUUUCUCAGAAGGCGGUCUUGACUACCUUGGUAACCCAAACCUUAUUCAUGCACAGAGCAUUCUUGCUAUUUGGGCAUCCCAAGUUGUGCUCAUGGGCUUAAUUGAAGGAUACAGAGUUGGCGGAGGCCCACUGGGUGAAGGUCUUGACAAAAUUUAUCCGGGAGGAGCUUUUGACCCACUAGGGCUCGC
Molecule: long non-coding RNA, 396 nt
Filed under: Nicotiana tabacum (common tobacco)
Lineage: Eukaryota; Viridiplantae; Streptophyta; Magnoliopsida; Solanales; Solanaceae
Description: long non-coding RNA (NTAB_LNC008426)
Source: RNAcentral